UGGAGGUCCAGGUCUAGCAUACUCCCAAUUCCGAAAGUUCAAAGCCUUGGGAGGCAAUGGCCGUGGCCUGAACGGCUGAUUCUCAUAAAAAUUGGGUCUAUUAAACUUCUGAUUCUCAUAAAAAUUCGGUCUAUUGAGCUGCUGAUUCUGAUAAUAUUGUGGUCUUAGUGGCGGCUGAGGCACUGCUCUAUUGAACUGCUGAUUCUGAUAAAACCCUGCUGGUGGUGGCAUUGCUCUAUAGGAUUGCUGAUUGGGAUGAAACUGCUGACGUGGUUGAGGAUGCGGCAAUUGUCCAUAAUUAUGAUGAGUAGGAUGAAUAUUUGGCGAUGGUGCCCUAGGCCGGAAAGGUCGAAAAUUAGGAGACGGGCGGAGAUUUCGAUUGGUUUCCCGAACAGAAUUGAAGUGAGAGUCUCCAGUUACAAUAUCGUCUUCACUUCGUUCUCCGGAAGGACGGUGCGAAAAGUUUCUCCUGCCGCGUCCCCUGCCUCCUCGGAAUGAUUGAGCAGAUGACAUGGUGGCGCUGGCGGCGGCAGACGCAGUAUCGGUAAAAGCGGCGGCGGCAAUAAGGUGGCGGGAAGGAGCAG
This 584-nucleotide unclassified non-coding RNA is filed under the name Hevea brasiliensis (rubber tree). The record is from RNAcentral. Lineage: Eukaryota; Viridiplantae; Streptophyta; Magnoliopsida; Malpighiales; Euphorbiaceae.